This 468-nucleotide ribosomal RNA is filed under the name uncultured bacterium. Its description in RNAcentral is "partial 16S ribosomal RNA". It matches the Rfam family "Bacterial small subunit ribosomal RNA", at positions 28 to 507 of the family's 1533-position model. The record is from RNAcentral.
GACGAACGCUGGCGGCGUGCUUAACACAUGCAAGUCGAACGGAAAGGCCCUGCUUUUGUGGGGUGCUCGAGUGGCGAACGGGUGAGUAACACGUGAGUAACCUGCCCUUGACUUUGGGAUAACUUCAGGAAACUGGGGCUAAUACCGGAUAGGAGCUCCUGCUGCAUGGUGGGGGUUGGAAAGUUUCGGCGGUUGGGGAUGGACUCGCGGCUUAUCAGCUUGUUGGUGGGGGAGUGGCUUACCAAGGCUUUGACGGGUAGCCGGCCUGUGAGGGUGACCGGCCACAUUGGGACUGAGAUACGGCCCAGACUCCUACGGGAGGCAGCAGUGGGGAAUAUUGCACAAUGGGCGGAAGCCUGAUGCAGCAACGCCGCGUGCGGGAUGACGGCCUUCGGGUUGUAAACCGCUUUCGCCUGUGACGAAGCGUGAGUGACGGUAAUGGGUAAAGAAGCACCGGCUAACUACGUG